AUUGAACGCUGGCGGCAUGCUUUACACAUGCAAGUCGAACGGUAACAGGCCUUCGGGUGCUGACGAGUGGCGAACGGGUGAGUAAUGCAUCGGAACGUACCCAGAGGUGGGGGAUAACGCAGCGAAAGCUGUGCUAAUACCGCAUGUGAUCUGAGGAUGAAAGCGGGGGACCGCGCAGCAAUGUUUGGCCUCGCGCCUUUGGAGCGGCCGAUGUCGGAUUAGCUAGUUGGUGGGGUAAAGGCCUACCAAGGCGACGAUCCGUAGCUGGUCUGAGAGGACGACCAGCCAGACUGGGACUGAGACACGGCCCAGACUCCUACGGGAGGCAGCAGUGGGGAAUUUUGGACAAUGGGCGCAAGCCUGAUCCAGCAAUGCCGCGUGCGGGAAGAAGGCCUUCGGGUUGUAAACCGCUUUUGGCAGGAACGAAACGGUGUCCGCUAAUACCGGGCGCUAAUGACGGUACCUGCAGAAUAAGCACCGGCUAACUACGUG
This 492-nucleotide ribosomal RNA is filed under the name uncultured bacterium. Its description in RNAcentral is "partial 16S ribosomal RNA". It matches the Rfam family "Bacterial small subunit ribosomal RNA", at positions 29 to 507 of the family's 1533-position model. The record is from RNAcentral.